Molecule: ribosomal RNA, 254 nt
Filed under: uncultured bacterium
Lineage: Bacteria
Also listed under: 1 other name
Description: partial 16S ribosomal RNA
Rfam family: Bacterial small subunit ribosomal RNA
Source: RNAcentral
UACGGGGGGAGCAAGCGUUGUUCGGAUUUACUGGGCGUAAAGGGCGCGUAGGCGGCCACCGCAAGUCAGUUGUGAAAUCUCUGGGCUUAACUCAGAAAGGUCAACUGAUACUGCGGGGCUAGAGUGCAGAAGGGGCAACUGGAAUUCUCGGUGUAGCGGUGAAAUGCGUAGAUAUCGAGAGGAACACCUGCGGCGAAGGCGGGUUGCUGGGCUGACACUGACGCUGAGGCGCGAAAGCUAGGGGAGCGAACGGG